GACGAACGCUGGCGGCGUGCUUAACACAUGCAAGUCGAACGGUGAAGCGCCUUCCUUUUUGGUGGGUGUGGAUGAGUGGCGAACGGGUGAGUAACACGUGAGUAACCUGCCCCCUUCUUCUGGAUAACCGCAUGAAAGUGUGGCUAAUACGGGAUAUUCUGGGUCUGUCGCAUGAUGGGUCUGGGAAAGAUAUUGUUUCGGUGGGGGAUGGGCUCGCGGCCUAUCAGCUUGUUGGUGGGGUGAUGGCCUACCAAGGCGGUGACGGGUAGCCGGCCUGAGAGGGUGGACGGUCACACUGGGACUGAGACACGGCCCAGACUCCGACGGGAGGCAGCAGUGGGGAAUAUUGCACAAUGGGCGCAAGCCUGAUGCAGCGACGCCGCGUGAGGGAUGGAGGCCUUCGGGUUGUGAACCUCUUUCGCCAGUGAAGCAGGCCUGCCUCGUUUGUGGGUGGGUUGACGGUAGCUGGAGAAGAAGCGCCGGCUAACUACGUG
RNAcentral lists this ribosomal RNA (494 nucleotides) under uncultured bacterium. Its description in RNAcentral is "partial 16S ribosomal RNA". It matches the Rfam family "Bacterial small subunit ribosomal RNA", at positions 28 to 507 of the family's 1533-position model. The record is from RNAcentral.